UAUGUGUGUAUACAGGAAUUCCAUUCAAGGACUUAUACAUCUGUCUAAGUUUCCUUAAACUGCUAAUAUAUCAUGGCUCUACGGAUCCUUGUUUUUAUCACUGGAACAUUACUUUAUGUUUCCUGCACAAAUGAAGACUGUUUUGAGUUUGGGAUUCCGUACAGAGGAUCAGUGAAUACAACAAUCUCAGGAAAACAUUGUCAGAGAUGGGACCAGCAAUACCCACAUCAGCAUAAAUUCAAUAACUGGCCUGGCACUGUGGAGAAUUUCUGCAGAACGUUGGACGAAACUCAGCCCUGGUGUUACACGACAAAUUCACAACAGAGAUAUGAGUUCUGUUUUGUUUAUAUUUGUGGCAAAACAAAUGUAACAUGUAGAUUACCAGGGUAUUUAUACACUGGAACCAUGAACGUGACAAAAUCCGGGCUUCCAUGUCAGCGCUGGGAUUCACAAACUCCACACGAACACACGUAUGGGUAGCUUUAGUCAUGCAACAGAGAACUACUGUCGAAACUUUGAUAGAGAGGAGCCUUGGUGCUUCACGAAUGAUUCUUCCAUUCGGCUAGAAUUGUGCGAUGUGGAUGUGUGCGCAACACCUUGCCUCAACCCUAGUAUUUAUACAAAACAACGAGUUUUUCAGCAUUGUAUUAAUCAAGUGCACAUAUCUCAGAACUGCAGCCAGCUAUGGGGAUUUCUGACCUGCUUAAAGCAGCAAACGGAAAAUAUCACUUCUAUUAAAUGUUCAGAUAUUCCUCUUAAAGCUAUCGCUCUUCAGAUGCAGGAUGUAUUAGAAAGAAUUCUGGGUUGGAAAAUUGACAGCUGUAAGUGGUUGAUAUGUAUGAUGUUUAUUAUUUGUCACAAAAAAUCAUUGUACACAAAACAUAUGGAGUCAACGUACAGUUUUAAAUAUCAAAGUCCAAAAAACAAUACAAAU
RNA transcript from Saccostrea cuccullata (small rock oyster), 934 nucleotides. It is a transcript of the gene named hepatocyte growth factor-like, with no coding region annotated. The record is from RefSeq and is a predicted model, not a curated record. NCBI's taxonomy places the organism in Eukaryota, Metazoa, Mollusca, Bivalvia, Ostreida, Ostreidae. The transcript is spliced from 5 exons.